UACAGAGGGUGCAAGCGUUGUUCGGAAUUACUGGGCGUAAAGCGAGUGUAGGCGGUUCGAUAAGUCGGAUGUGAAAGCCCCGGGCUCAACCCGGGAAGUGCACUCGAUACUGUCGAGCUAGAGUAUCGGAGAGGUUGGUGGAAUUCUCGGUGUAGAGGUGAAAUUCGUAGAUAUCAGGAGGAACACCGAUGGCGAAGGCAGGUCUCUGGGCAUUAACUGACGCUGAGGAGCGAAAGCAUGGGGAGCGAACAGG
This 253-nucleotide ribosomal RNA is filed under the name uncultured bacterium. RNAcentral's name for it is "partial 16S ribosomal RNA". It matches the Rfam family "Bacterial small subunit ribosomal RNA", at positions 524 to 776 of the family's 1533-position model. The record is from RNAcentral.